Molecule: ribosomal RNA, 399 nt
Filed under: Triticum aestivum (bread wheat)
Lineage: Eukaryota; Viridiplantae; Streptophyta; Magnoliopsida; Poales; Poaceae
Description: partial small subunit ribosomal RNA
Source: RNAcentral
AUGCAUUGCAUGAGCUGGAACUGUUGAGGGCUUGGGAACCCAUCGAUAGUCCGAGAGCUUCACAAGAUUGUGAAGCAGGAAGGUCCCUCCCUUCUCUUUCUCAUGGAAACUAAGAUUAGGGGAAAAAGAGUUGAGAGUUUGAAGAAUUUACUUGGUUUUGCUGGAUGCUUUGUUGUUGAUAGCAGUGGCUUAAGCGGUGGAAUUGGCUUGUUUUGGACAGAUAAUAUUGAUGUAGAACUAAGAAACUACAGCCAAGCACAUAUUGAUGUGAACGUCGAGAUGAAUGAUCAGUCACAACCUUGGCGGUUCACAGGAUUUUACGGAGAACCCCAAGUUGAAAAUAGGUAUCAUAGCUGGGAUUUUUUGCGUACAUUAUAUGGAGUACAACAUCAUGGUUAG